UCAAAUAGCUUUAGUACCCGGCAACACUGCAGGAAAUAUGAGCUAUGACUGAUAUUUAAUUAGUGACAUUUAUAAUAAAUAUAGGGAGAAGGUUCAUUUCGUGACAUUUGUUAACAAAAUAUGGCAAAAAUACUAACGUUUGAUGACAAUUGACAAAAAUACUGUGACAUUUAAUAGAAAUGUCACAUAAUUAAGAAUAAAAUGACAUUUAAUUAGUGAUAUGUACAGCAAAUGUCAAAAAAAUUACUAGUUUCAAAAAAGAAAGAGAAUUUUUUUCCCCAAAUCUCCCUCUCAAAUCUCUAAAAAACCCUACUCUCUUAGAACAAUUGAAGUUCAUUUUUCCCCUCCCCAGUUUCUCUAUCCCGUCCGAAUCCUUACACCCCUACCAUGAAUCUCAAAAUCCUUCAGGAAUAGCAGUAUGAAAUGUAUUCUCUUCUUGUUUAAUUCCCUAUUUCCUUCUCUUUGUCUACUGCGCAUUGGAAUAACUCUAGAGCUGAACUUAGAGAUGUGCUAGCUUUGGGGCUUAAUGUUACCAGGUAUUUAUUCUUGUACACUUAAUAAACUAGUUAGUUGCAUGAUCAUAUUAAGCAGUCAUCAGAUAUCAUGAAAAUAUUAUUUUGCACAGAAGGAGAAAUGGAGAAUGCUAGUAAGUAAACAUCACAUCCAUAUGUAUCAUUAGCUUUAUAUACUAAGGGCUUGUUUAGUUAGUACAGUAUGGUAAUUAACUCUUGGCUUUCAAAGGAGAAAUGCUAUAAUGAUAAGUCUGCUAUAUCUACAUAUAGGGUGCUAUCUACUUUGCUAAUUAUUUUUGUCCCUACGGAAAUUAUGCAAUUGGUCAAAUAUCUUUAGAAUUUACUAGGUUGAAAUGUACCGAUGGCUAUGCUGGUUGAUUAGGUGAAAAAUAAGGUAGCACACAUAUACUGGCCUUUGGGUGUAUGAUAUGGAGUUGCAGUGAGAAAGUCCAGAGUGUGGCAACUUAUGGUAAGGUCCUUGUAAAUUUGAUGGCCAUAUGACAUCUUUCUUUCUUAAAAUUAUGUGUUUUUACUAAGGGAAUUUGUUCGUUGGUGGCAAAUAGCUUGUGGAAUACUUCAAUUAGUAAUCUUAUAAGGAUACUCGUGACAAUCGCUGCACUAUAUAAAUUCAUUUUAUUAAAUCGUUCUUCUAUGCAGAUUAUGCGAUCUUCUUUUGACUUUCAAUCACUUGCUAAUUUAUUUCCUAGUUUAUGAAAUCAUAGGUUGACUACCUCACACAACCUUGUUGUCUCAAUUCAAUAGAGUGUCAAAUGGGUGGAAGCGCAAGGAAAUUGGAGCUGAAGGGAUGUAGCAGAAAAAGUGGAAGAAAGAGUUGAGGAAGUGAAACAAUCUAUUGCAGAAUUUGCUACAAUUUGCUUUUAUCCAGCCUAAUAGUUUCUUUCUACCAUUGUUUAAUUGUAAGGAUGUGCUGCUAUUCACAAAUACAUUCUUGUAAUUAGUUACAGAGAUUUUUUGUUAACUCAUUUUAUUACAGUUCAAAUUUUAUAUAUUUAUUGACA
Long non-coding RNA from Nicotiana tabacum (common tobacco), 1531 nucleotides. RefSeq lists it as uncharacterized. NCBI's taxonomy places the organism in Eukaryota, Viridiplantae, Streptophyta, Magnoliopsida, Solanales, Solanaceae. The record is from RefSeq and is a predicted model, not a curated record.